Molecule: unclassified non-coding RNA, 395 nt
Filed under: soil metagenome
Description: partial contains 5.8S ribosomal RNA, internal transcribed spacer 2, and large subunit ribosomal RNA
Rfam family: 5.8S ribosomal RNA (bases 1-122)
Source: RNAcentral
GAUGAAGAACGCAGCGAAAUGCGAUACUUGGUGUGAAUUGCAGAAUCCCGUGAACCAUCAAGUCUUUGAACGCAAGUUGCGCCCGAAGCCAUCAGGUUGAGGGCACGUCUGCCUGGGCGUCACAUAUCGUUGCCCAAUGCCUAUUGCAGUGCAAUAGGAAUUUCUAGGGCGAAUGAUGGCUUCCCGUGAGCGUUGUUGCCUCGCGGUUGGUUGAAAAUCGAGUCCUUGGUAGGGUGUGCCAUGGUAGAUGGUGGUCGAGUUAGAACGAUACCGAUCAUGUGCAUGCUCCCCAAAAUAUGGCCUCUAUGACCCACACGCGUCUUUUGACGCUCAUGACGAGACCUCAGGUCAGGCGGGGCUACCCGCUGAAUUUAAGCAUAUCAAUAAGCGGAGGA